CAGAGAGAGACAUGCGCGCAUAUCAAUAAGCGGAGGAAAAGAAACUAACAAGGAUUCCCUUAGUAACGGCGAGUGAAGCGGGAAGAGCUCAAAUUUGAAAUCUUCAAGGUUUUACCUUGACGAAUUGUAGUUUAAAGAAGUGUUUUCUGCUGAAGUUUUGGUAAAAGUUCUUUGGAAUAGGACAUCAUAGAGGGUGAGAAUCCCGUAUUUGACCAUUAUUUUCAGCUUUGUGAUACACUUUCAAAGAGUCGGAUUGUUUGGGAAUGCAGUCCAAAAUGGGUGGUAAAUUUCAUCUAAAGCUAAAUAUUGGCGAGAGACCGAUAGCGAACAAGUACCGUGAGGGAAAGAUGAAAAGGAACUUUGAAAAGAGAGUUAAACAGUACGUGAAAUUGUCAAAAGGGAAGCGUUUGACACCAGUGUUGUUUUCUCGAAAAUCAAUUAAAAAUGGCUCGAUUUUGUAUUGCUGAGACCUUAAAAGCUCACUGUACAUUUUUCGUGUCUUUUUUAAUGCACUUUUCGUUUAACAAGUCAACAUCAGUUUCUUUUGUUGUAAAAGGGUCAUUGGAAGGUGGCUUUCUUUUCGGAGAAAGUGUUUAUAGCCUUUGGCCUCUGCAAUCGGAGAGACUGAGGUCUGCAGCGUAGACUCUUCGGGGUUAGAUACAUUUGUGCUAAGUUAUAGCUUUUUAUAGACAACUUGUUGACUAUAAUUAGUCUUGUAGCUUACUCGCUUAUGCUAUUUUACCUACGCUUAGGAUGUUGAAGAUGUAGCACAUCAU
This 776-nucleotide ribosomal RNA is filed under the name uncultured Neocallimastigales. Its description in RNAcentral is "partial large subunit ribosomal RNA". It matches the Rfam family "Eukaryotic large subunit ribosomal RNA", at positions 23 to 634 of the family's 3401-position model. Lineage: Eukaryota; Fungi; Neocallimastigomycota; Neocallimastigomycetes; Neocallimastigales. The record is from RNAcentral.